GACGAACGCUGGCGGCGUGCUUAACACAUGCAAGUCGAACGGAAAGGCCCUGCUUUUGUGGGGUGCUCGAGUGGCGAACGGGUGAGUAACACGUGAGUAACCUGCCCUUGACUUUGGGAUAACUUCAGGAAACUGGGGCUAAUACCGGAUAGGAGCUCCUGCUGCAUGGUGGGGGUUGGAAAGUUUCGGCGGUUGGGGAUGGACUCGGGGCUUAUCAGCUUGUUGGUGGGGUAGUGGCUUACCAAGGCUUUGACGGGUAGCCGGCCUGAGAGGGUGACCGGCCACAUUGGGACUGAGAUACGGCCCAGACUCCUACGGGAGGCAGCAGUGGGGAAUAUUGCACAAUGGGCGGAAGCCUGAUGUAGCAACGCCGCGUGCGGGAUGACGGCCUUCGGGUUGUAAACCGCUUUCGCCUGUGACGAAGCGUGAGUGACGGUAAUGGGUAAAGAAGCACCGGCUAACUACGUG
Molecule: ribosomal RNA, 468 nt
Filed under: uncultured bacterium
Lineage: Bacteria
Description: partial 16S ribosomal RNA
Rfam family: Bacterial small subunit ribosomal RNA
Source: RNAcentral